UACGGAGGGAGCUAGCGUUGUCCGGAAUCAUUGGGCGUAAAGCGCGUGUAGGCGGUCCGGUAAGUCCGCUGUGAAAGUCGAGGGCUCAACCCUCGAAUGCCGGUGGAUACUGUCGGGCUAGAGUACGGAAGAGGCGAGUGGAAUUCCUGGUGUAGCGGUGAAAUGCGCAGAUAUCAGGAGGAACACCGAUGGCGAAGGCAGAUCUCUGGGCCGUAACUGACGCUGAGGAGCGAAAGCGUGGGGAGCGAACAGG
RNAcentral lists this ribosomal RNA (253 nucleotides) under uncultured bacterium. Its description in RNAcentral is "partial 16S ribosomal RNA". It matches the Rfam family "Bacterial small subunit ribosomal RNA", at positions 524 to 776 of the family's 1533-position model. The record is from RNAcentral.